UUUUACUUACUCCGUGAAUCG
RNAcentral lists this small nuclear RNA (21 nucleotides) under Arabidopsis thaliana (thale cress). RNAcentral describes it as "snRNA_06232". The record is from RNAcentral. Lineage: Eukaryota; Viridiplantae; Streptophyta; Magnoliopsida; Brassicales; Brassicaceae.